This 1856-nucleotide long non-coding RNA is filed under the name Theobroma cacao (cacao). Its description in RNAcentral is "long non-coding RNA (TCAC_LNC003863)". The record is from RNAcentral. Lineage: Eukaryota; Viridiplantae; Streptophyta; Magnoliopsida; Malvales; Malvaceae.
AAGUGUCAAGCUUAGAUUAUUUUAUUAUUUGGCUUUAAAAAUUAGCCUACAACUCUUCCACAUUCAUUCUUAUGGCCGGCCAUAGCAAGAACAAAGGGAGAAAAGAAAGAACAAGAACCCUAGGGUGAAAAUUCAAGAGAAAAUUGGUGGAUUUCAAGUAAUCAAGCAAUCAAAGGUAAAAUUUCUUGAUUUUGACUUGUGAUCUACCUUUUCCAUGCAUUCUUUUGCAUUUUCCAUGGUUAAAUCACAUGAUUUCAUGAUGGGUAUCUUGCUGGCUGAACAUUUAGAGAGAGGUUUUGAUGCUUGAUUUGGUUAGAUUUUAAGAUAUUUUAGUGUUUUUAGUUAGUUAGUGAUGUAUAACAUGAAAAUCAAGCAAGAAAAAUUCAUGUUCUUCCAUCACCCAUCAUUGGCCGAAUUCUCCAUGUGGAAUAUUGAGGAUGAUUUUGAUAUUUAUUUCAAGUGAUUUGAUUAGGAAUUAGUGAUUUAUGGUGUGAGAAUCAAGUAGGGAAAAUUAUAGUGUUGAUGCACCCACCAUGGCCGAAUUUUCCAAGAGAAAAUGUGAGGAUGAUUUUGCCAUAUUUCAAGUUAUUUAAUUUGUGUUUGAUGAUUUGGAGUAUUGGGAGAAAAAUGAAAUUAUUUGGAGUUGAAUUGGACGUAUUGGCCAAUUAAUCAAGUGAUAGAUCGAAUUAAGCCAAUACUGUUUAAUUUAGGUACACAAUUGAAUUUGUGUAGAACACCAUGUUUAGACAAUAAUCUGAAUAAUUUGCAUCCCAUUUCAUACAUUAGUAUAAAGCCUGAAUUGGUUUUAUAACAAUUUAGCACAAUGUAGUAAAUGGCUUAUUGUGCAUUAUGUUUAGGUGGUGAGCAUUCUGGCAAAAGUAAAGAGAUAAUUGUGAGACCUCAACCUCUAUAGGCUUGUAACUAAGCAUAGAUGUAAUAAUACGAGCCAAGGGUAGUUUCGUCAUUUUCUCUAAUAAGCUCUCAAAAGAAAGUUUUUAUGAUAUUUUAAGGUCUAAAUAGGUAUAAGACUGCAUAAAUGAUGUGUACUAAUGAAAACACGAAGAAAACUAGAAGUUUCAACAAUUUUCAUAACAGGGGCAAAAUGGUCAUUUUUCACCUCAGGUUAAGAUUUUAAGUUUUUAUGAAUCCAAGUAUGUUUAGACCAUCAUGGACCUUGUCCCAGUGUCAAAAAAGCAAAAAGAUUGCACAAAGGGUUGCAUGAGAACAAACUAACUAGUCAAGGGCAUUUUCGUAAUUUUAAGGGAAUGGAUAAGAUUGGCUAUAAAUAUCUUUCUUCCAGCAGCUUCUUCUCCCAUUUUUCCAAUAGCUUGUCUUCUUCUUCUUCUUCCCUCUCAAGUUUCUUCAAAACUCCAUGGAAGCUUGAUAUGGAGCUUGCAUAAUUUUCUCUCUCUAACUCUAGUUUUCAUACCUUUGAGCCCUUUUGACUAGAACUCUUUAAUUCUUUCACUCUCUCACUUUAAAACCCUUGAUAAAGCUUAUUUCCAUACUUUCUCUCACUAGUUGGGCAUUCUAGAGAGAGAAAAAAAGAAUUACCCAAUUUAUUUGGAAGCUAUUAGAAGAGAAUUCAACUACAAAGGAACCCUAGGGUGAGUGAUGAACCAAGCUUGAUUUUUAGCUGUGAAUAAUGACUAGUAAUUUAGAUUAAGAGCUGUUUUAUUGUUGAGUAUGUUCAUUACUUUUUUAGUGAUGAAGAUAGUGAACAUAGAUAGCUAUUUAAUGUAGCAAUUAAAAGCUAGCUAAGAGAUAGCUUUUAAGGUUCAUAGUGUGUGAAUUGACCUAUUGUUUUUGCUAAUGUGAUCCCAGGUUCUAAUGAAGUCCCAUCCUUCCAAUUGGAU